Molecule: ribosomal RNA, 1368 nt
Filed under: uncultured bacterium
Lineage: Bacteria
Description: bacterial SSU rRNA
Rfam family: Bacterial small subunit ribosomal RNA
Source: RNAcentral
AGUUUGAUCCUGGCUCAGAACGAACGCUGGCGGCGUGGAUAAGACAUGCAAGUCGAACGAGAGAAUUGCUAGCUUGCUAAUAAUUCUCUAGUGGCGCACGGGUGAGUAACACGUGAGUAACCUGCCCCCGAGAGCGGGAUAGCCCUGGGAAACUGGGAUUAAUACCGCAUAGUAUCGAAAGAUUAAAGCAGCAAUGCGCUUGGGGAUGGGCUCGCGGCCUAUUAGUUAGUUGGUGAGGUAACGGCUCACCAAGGCGAUGACGGGUAGCCGGUCUGAGAGGAUGUCCGGCCACACUGGAACUGAGACACGGUCCAGACACCUACGGGUGGCAGCAGUCGAGAAUCAUUCACAAUGGGGGAAACCCUGAUGGUGUGACGCCGCGUGGGGGAAUGAAGGUCUUCGGAUUGUAAACCCCUGUCAUGUGGGAGCAAAUUAAAAAGAUAGUACCACAAGAGGAAGAGACGGCUAACUCUGUGCCAGCAGCCGCGGUAAUACAGAGGUCUCAAGCGUUGUUCGGAAUCACUGGGCGUAAAGCGUGCGUAGGCUGUUUCGUAAGUCGUGUGUGAAAGGCGCGGGCUCAACCCGCGGACGGCACAUGAUACUGCGAGACUAGAGUAAUGGAGGGGGAACCGGAAUUCUCGGUGUAGCAGUGAAAUGCGUAGAUAUCGAGAGGAACACUCGUGGCGAAGGCGGGUUCCUGGACAUUAACUGACGCUGAGGCACGAAGGCCAGGGGAGCGAAAGGGAUUAGAUACCCCUGUAGUCCUGGCAGUAAACGGUGCACGCUUGGUGUGCGGGGAAUCGACCCCCUGCGUGCCGGAGCUAACGCGUUAAGCGUGCCGCCUGGGGAGUACGGUCGCAAGAUUAAAACUCAAAGAAAUUGACGGGGACCCGCACAAGCGGUGGAGUAUGUGGCUUAAUUCGAUGCAACGCGAAGAACCUUACCUGGGCUUGACAUGUAAUGAACAACAUGUGAAAGCAUGCGACUCUUCGGAGGCGUUACACAGGUGCUGCAUGGCCGUCGUCAGCUCGUGUCGUGAGAUGUUUGGUUAAGUCCAGCAACGAGCGCAACCCCUGUUGCCAGUUACCAGCACGUGAAGGUGGGGACUCUGGCGAGACUGCCCAGAUCAACUGGGAGGAAGGUGGGGACGACGUCAGGUCAGUAUGGCCCUUAUGCCCAGGGCUGCACACGUACUACAAUGCCCAGUACAGAGGGGGCCGAAGCCGCGAGGCGGAGGAAAUCCUGAAAACUGGGCCCAGUUCGGACUGUAGGCUGCAACCCGCCUACACGAAGCCGGAAUCGCUAGUAAUGGCGCAUCAGCUACGGCGCCGUGAAUACGUUCCCGGGUCUUGUACUCACCGCCCGUCA